ACACAGGGAUGCAUAAGGGAAAAAGACCCAAUUCUCAUUUUUUCACACCUUAAAUUCCUGCUGCAGCGGAGCACGGGGGGAACGUGCAAGCAGGGCAUCCAGCUCUCCCUGUUUUCCCAGUUAAGCAUCUAAAGCUCUGACCCUAAGGAAUGCAGGAGCAGGGGAGCUCCUCCCUCUGCAUCUCCUGGAGCUGUGCCUGGGCCAGGAACCAGGUCCGGCUCAGUGAGGCUCCAUCGGCUCCUGGCAGGGGACACCCGAAAUCCCAGGGUGGGGACUGGCAGGAAAUUUCCGUCUGCUCCACGAGCUCCUUUCCCGGCUCUGCACAGCGGCUCCACAUGGUUUCGUUUUCCUCGCAGCACCAAUAAAUCUUUAACGCAGCGUUCCACGAACCCUCCCCAGAGGAUGAAGCACAGAGUGAUCCGGGGGGGCUGUCUGGGCUCGGUGGCCCAGCACAUGGUGUGUGCUGUGAACACGGACCCCCAAGCUCUUUGCAGUGAAGGGAGGAUGAAAUUUAUAUCAUCCCAGUGAACUGAUCCUCUUAUCUGCAUUGUCUGCUCAGCAUCUAAUGAACUAAUGAAAUAUGCAACAAUUCAGCUCUAGAACAGACCUCGCUUUUAAAUUAGCACUAAUUAGAGAUAAUUAUCUUGGCUGGUUUGAUGUUUCUGUGUAAUGAGCUUGGGUUUUCUUUUAUUGGGAAUUGGUGUGGUCAAACAUACGAAGCGACACACUGGA
Long non-coding RNA from Corvus hawaiiensis (hawaiian crow), 732 nucleotides. RefSeq lists it as uncharacterized. The transcript is spliced from 3 exons. The record is from RefSeq and is a predicted model, not a curated record. NCBI's taxonomy places the organism in Eukaryota, Metazoa, Chordata, Aves, Passeriformes, Corvidae.